Molecule: vault RNA, 101 nt
Filed under: Prolemur simus (greater bamboo lemur)
Lineage: Eukaryota; Metazoa; Chordata; Mammalia; Primates; Lemuridae
Description: Vault RNA (ENSPSMG00000022303.1)
Rfam family: Vault RNA
About the family: This family of RNAs are found as part of the enigmatic vault ribonucleoprotein complex. The complex consists of a major vault protein (MVP), two minor vault proteins (VPARP and TEP1), and several small untranslated RNA molecules. It has been suggested that the vault complex is involved in drug resistance.
Source: Rfam by way of RNAcentral
GGGUUGGCAUUAGCUCAAGUGGUUACUUUCUCACUCUGGACUUCCCAUCCAUCUAUCCCUGCGCUGGAGUUCAAGACCCGCAGGUGCUUUCUGACCCUUUA